GUCCCCUUAGCUCAACGGAUAGAGCACAAGCCUCCGGAGCUUGGGAUGGGGGUUCGAUUCCCCCAGGGGGCG
RNAcentral lists this transfer RNA (72 nucleotides) under Candidatus Omnitrophota bacterium. Its description in RNAcentral is "Candidatus Omnitrophica bacterium (sediment metagenome) tRNA-Arg". It matches the Rfam family "tRNA". Rfam says of the family: Transfer RNA (tRNA) molecules are approximately 80 nucleotides in length. Their secondary structure includes four short double-helical elements and three loops (D, anti-codon, and T loops). Lineage: Bacteria; Pseudomonadati; Candidatus Omnitrophota. The record is from RNAcentral.